RNAcentral lists this long non-coding RNA (437 nucleotides) under Ricinus communis (castor bean). RNAcentral's name for it is "long non-coding RNA (RCOM_LNC003187)". The record is from RNAcentral. Lineage: Eukaryota; Viridiplantae; Streptophyta; Magnoliopsida; Malpighiales; Euphorbiaceae.
AUCGUCAAGGCUCGGCCUCUUGCCCUCGCCAAUCGGCCGGAUGUUAGCGGCAAGGCUCCCGGUUCCCAAAGUUUAAUUUGAAUAACUAAAUAUUUAUAUCUUUUUAUUUUCUUCAUAUGUAGUAAUUUUGUUGUCGGUUAUGUAUAACGAUAUGCAUCUUUUGUACUUGGUUUAUUUUGUGUCCUUUGUAGCUCAUUUUCGAGAAAUAUUUUAAAUUUUGAUUUGUAAUCUAUUAUAUAUAUAUAUAUAUAUAUAAAAGAACAAUAAGAUAUCAAACCAACUCGUCCAUAAAGGAGUUUAUUGACUACGCUUGAUUGUAAAAUUUCUACGCAUACAAACGCUUUAUUAUAUUUAUCUUCCUUAAUAUAAUAUUUGAAUUCCUAAAAGAAAUAAAAUUUAAUGUCUGCAAUUGUAGGGACCUUUAAGUUUGAGAAAUU